UGGGGAAUCUUGCGCAAUGGGCGAAAGCCUGACGCAGCGACGCCGCGUGCGGGAAGAAGGCCUUCGGGUUGUAAACCGCUUUCAGGGGGGACGAAGCCACUCGGGUUAAUAGCCCAGAGGGUGACGGUACCUCCAGAAGAAGCCCCGGCUAACUACGUGCCAGCAGCCGCGGUAAUACGUAGGGGGCUAGCGUUGUCCGGAUUUAUUGGGCGUAAAGAGCGCGUAGGCGGCCGAGUAAGUCCGACGUGAAAUCUGGAGGCUCAACCUCCAGCGGUCGUUGGAAACUACUCGGCUAGAGUCCGGAAGAGGAGAGUGGAAUUCCUGGUGUAGCGGUGAAAUGCGCAGAUAUCAGGAAGAACACCGAUGGCGAAAGCAGCUCUCUGGGACGGUACUGACGCUGAGGCGCGAAAGCGUGGGGAGCGAACAGGAUUAGAUACCCUGGUAGUCCACGCCGUAAACGAUGGACACUAGGCGUCGGGGGGAGCGACCCUCCCGGUGCCGUCGCUAACGCAGUAAGUCG
RNAcentral lists this ribosomal RNA (520 nucleotides) under uncultured Actinomycetes bacterium. RNAcentral describes it as "bacterial SSU rRNA". It matches the Rfam family "Bacterial small subunit ribosomal RNA", at positions 355 to 867 of the family's 1533-position model. The record is from RNAcentral. Lineage: Bacteria; Bacillati; Actinomycetota; Actinomycetes.